This 2182-nucleotide long non-coding RNA is filed under the name Centruroides sculpturatus (bark scorpion). Its description in RNAcentral is "uncharacterized LOC111622865". Lineage: Eukaryota; Metazoa; Arthropoda; Arachnida; Scorpiones; Buthidae. The record is from RNAcentral.
GCCGCAGAAAAAAAGUGUUCAGGCUAAAAGUUAUUAAAUUAAAAAAUAAUUAUGUCAGAUUCAUUAAAUAUGCUUUAUGGCAAUUGACUUUGUUGUAUUUCUGGCAGAUAAUACCGGGACUGAAUAAAUACGCAAUUUGUAAAGGGUGGCUUGAUUAUGUAACUAAUCAGCCAAUGCUAUUAACUGCUGCUUUUGCAGCAAGUCAGUUAAUUUAUUCUAUGUGUUUAACUAUUCUUACGAAAAAUGACAACAAAGUCAAUUUAGAAAUUGAUUUAAAACAUGAAUACUUCCAACGAGAAAUGUUACGCAAAAAGAAUUCUUCACUUAGAAAGGUUACCUUGUUCAUAUCUUUUUAUACAAUAAUGGCUACUAUUGUGUCUCAAUUUCUGAAUGUAUAUUUUUAUUAUCCCGGAGUAGAAAAAGGAAAAAAAUUUGAAAGCGAGCCACUGCUAUGCUCUAUUCUGUAUGCUCUAGGUAUGAUACCUGCAUUAACAGGAUUUGCAUUGUCUAUAUUAUUCGUAGGUUUAUUCUUGUUCACCGCCUAUAUAGAAUUUCAAAAUGUUUCGUUUCAACUUUCCUCAUUGAACAAGAAAUACAAGAACAUGCCGAAUAUAUUGAAAGAAUUGAUGCUACGACAACAAGAAUUGUGGAUUUUCGUCAAUCAACUUAACACUAAACUUAAUUAUCCAUUUUGCAUUAUGUAUUUUUCUGUUAUGUGGAUAACCAACUUUUGGUUUUACACAUACCUAUUUGUAGAUGUGAAUGAUUCAAUGCGUAUAAUUGCCAUAAUAAUGUCCAUAAUUUGUACCUUCGUGUUUACAAUUUUGGGUUGUUUACUGUCUUGUUUCGCAUUUUCGGUAAGUAUUCAUGUUAACGAUUUAUUUUUUUCGAAAGCUAAUUUCUUACUUUUUAGAUGCAGAAUGGUUUUCAAGAUAUUCGUCAAUUUGCAGAUUGCAGUCUCAAACUGGAACUGAAACUCAAGAUUUUAGAUUUUAUGAAGAGAUUUGGAAAAGUUUCCUUGUGUCUUUCAAUCGGUGGUUUCUUUGCUGUGGAUAAGAAAAUUAUUUUCAAGAUGGCGAGUACAUUGCAUUCUAUUCUUUCAGGACUUUUAAAAUUAAGGAAUGCAUCGAAAAGGAACAGAAAAUGUAACAAAAUAUUCUUAUCUAAUUCUACUGAAUAUAACUAAUGUACAGCAUAUGAAAUCUCGUUAUUGGUGAAUGUUUCAUCAGCGAAGAAAUAUGUCACCGUUGUAAUAUUCAUGAUAUGAAAUUAAUGCAACUUUCAAUAGACUUAUAUGUGAAAGAACAAAAUUCUUUCGUAUUUCAAAAUUCAUAUCUGAAUUGAUUUUCAAACUUCAAGUGUAAUGCGUAGGUAGGAAAUUAGCACACACAACAUGACAUUUUUUGUACUGUUACACGGCUCUGUUUGCAAAGGAACAUUAUAGGAGCAGUAAUGAACUAUCAAAAUGGUGGUUUUAAGUCAUUAUUUAAGAUUGCUUUUUCAAGAAAGAAAACAACGGUAAAUAACACUGAUGUUGAUAAAUUACACAUUUAAUGUGUUCUUUGCUUGGAAUAAACUCAAAAAGGAUUGAUAAUGCUAAUUUUUCAAAGUUAUAUAAAAGUCCAAUUUGAACAACUGCAGAAAUGAAAAUGAUCGCAUAUUGUAGAGAGAAAUAAUUGAAAAUCGACGUUCGUGUCAAAUCAUUUGCGAAUGAUCUAUUAUAAAAGUUCGAAAAUCACCAAGACAGAGUUUGUUUUAAGCAUGAGACAUUACAUAAGAUAUUGUUAGUAUUCAUUCUCUUUGUGUGUAACAGAACGGAUUCACAGAGUUUUCUUUAAAUUACAGCAAAGGUCAACCGCAGAUAACUACGCAUGAAAAUCUUUCUUGUACGAUAUUUUCAGAGCUAUUUUUUGGCUCACAAUUUCAGUAGCGAUGAUUUCGAUUGUUAAAGCUAAGAACCUCCAGGGGUGGUUAUUUUUUUAAACUUUGUAUUCACGGCAAUCCCUUAAACUAAAUUACUGAAGUAAAAUCACACGUUGCAACGCCUUGCAUAGAGUAUUAACCCUGUUUCAAUGGUGUCUGUAGUGAUAUAUUAUAGAAGAGUAUCAAACAAACUUUUUUUUCGGCAGUGACAUUAUAUAGAGUAAAAUUUAGUUGGUAAUAUAAGAAUUACCUAAAUUCA